AUUUGUCUGGUUAAUUCCGAUAACGAACGAGACCUUAACCUGCUAACUAGUUCUCAAUACUCUGUAUUCUGCAACUUCUUAGAGGGACUAUGUAAAUCAAUUACAUGGAAGUUUGAGGCAAUAACAGGUCAGUGAUGCCCUUAUAUGUCCUGGGCUGCACGCGUGCUUACACUGAUGCAUACAACAAGUGCCUAGCCAGACAUGGUAUGGCAAUCUCGAAUAUGCAUCGUGAUGGGGAUAGAUCUUUGCAAUUAUAGAUCUUGAACGAGGAAUUCCUAGUAAGUGCAAGUCAUCAUCUUGCAUUGACUAUGUCCCUGCCCUUUGUACACACCGCCCGUCGCUCCUACCGAUACCGGGUGAUCCGGUGAACCUUUUGGACUCCGUAUGGGGGAAGAUAAGUAAACCAUAUCACCUAGAGGAAGGAGAAGUCGUAACAAGGUUUCCGUAGGUGAACCUGCRGAAGGAUCA
RNAcentral lists this ribosomal RNA (468 nucleotides) under uncultured ciliate. RNAcentral describes it as "SSU rRNA". It matches the Rfam family "Eukaryotic small subunit ribosomal RNA". The record is from RNAcentral. Lineage: Eukaryota; Ciliophora.